AAAAAGACAAAUCCUAGGUUUUCGUGUUCAACUUUAACUGUUCGUCUUAUAUAAAAUUUUUUUAUAAUUCGUAUUUUUAUUGUUGUUAGAUGAUAAAACAUGAUUAAUAUUUUAUGUGUGAAUUGUUUUUUUAAUUUUUUCAUAUAAAACGGACGGUUAAACGUUGGACACGGAAACC
RNAcentral lists this microRNA precursor (178 nucleotides) under Oryza sativa Indica Group (long-grained rice). RNAcentral describes it as "MIR812 microRNA precursor family". It matches the Rfam family "MIR812 microRNA precursor family". The record is from Rfam by way of RNAcentral. Lineage: Eukaryota; Viridiplantae; Streptophyta; Magnoliopsida; Poales; Poaceae.